This 544-nucleotide long non-coding RNA is filed under the name Homo sapiens (human). RNAcentral's name for it is "novel transcript, antisense to SH2B1". Lineage: Eukaryota; Metazoa; Chordata; Mammalia; Primates; Hominidae. The record is from RNAcentral.
UGGUUUAUCUGAGGAAAGGGGCAGGCGGUCCAGGAGUUUGCAUCUCUGAGGCUGGAGAUGAAGAUGGUGGUAGUGGUGGGGGAGGGGGUGGGUAGAAAUAAUGAGGUCAGGGCCGGGCGCAGUGGCUCAUGCCUGUAAUCCCAGCACUUCGGAAGGCCGAGGCAGGUGGAUCACCUGAGGUCAGGAGUUUGAGACCAGCCUGACCAACAUGGUGAAACCCCAUCUGCAAUAAAAAUACAAAAAUUUUAGCCGGGCUUGGUGGCAGGCGCCUGUACUCCCAGCUACUUGAGAGGAGGCUGAGGCAGAAGAAUCACUUGAACCCCAGAGUCGGAAGUUGCAGUGAGCCAAGACUGCGCCACUGCAAUCCAGCCUGGGCAAAAGAGCGAGACUCCAUCUCAAAAAUAAUAACAAUAAUAAUAAUGAGGUCAAUUCCAGACGUGCUUUUGGGACGUCUGUGGGCAUAUAGUCUGGAGCUAAGAAGAGACAUCAAGGCCAGUUAGAGAAAUCGAGAACAAUUAAAGUACGGAGGGUAGUUGAAAGCAUG